This 792-nucleotide ribosomal RNA is filed under the name uncultured Streptococcus sp. RNAcentral's name for it is "bacterial SSU rRNA". It matches the Rfam family "Bacterial small subunit ribosomal RNA", at positions 34 to 809 of the family's 1533-position model. The record is from RNAcentral. Lineage: Bacteria; Bacillati; Bacillota; Bacilli; Lactobacillales; Streptococcaceae.
CGCUGGCGGCGUGCCUAAUACAUGCAAGUAGAACGCUGAAGCUUGGUGCUUGCACCGAGCGGAUGAGUUGCGAACGGGUGAGUAACGCGUAGGUAACCUGCCUCUUAGCGGGGGAUAACUAUUGGAAACGAUAGCUAAUACCGCAUAAAAGUCGAUAUCGCAUGAUAUUGAUUUGAAAGGUGCAAUUGCAUCACUAAGAGAUGGACCUGCGUUGUAUUAGCUAGUUGGUGAGGUAACGGCUCACCAAGGCGACGAUACAUAGCCGACCUGAGAGGGUGAUCGGCCACACUGGGACUGAGACACGGCCCAGACUCCUACGGGAGGCAGCAGUAGGGAAUCUUCGGCAAUGGACGGAAGUCUGACCGAGCAACGCCGCGUGAGUGAAGAAGGUUUUCGGAUCGUAAAGCUCUGUUGUGAGAGAAGAACGAGUGUGAGAGUGGAAAGUUCACACUGUGACGGUAACUUACCAGAAAGGGACGGCUAACUACGUGCCAGCAGCCGCGGUAAUACGUAGGUCCCGAGCGUUAUCCGGAUUUAUUGGGCGUAAAGCGAGCGCAGGCGGUUAGAUAAGUCUGAAGUUAAAGGCUGUGGCUCAACCAUAGUUCGCUUUGGAAACUGUCAAACUUGAGUGCAGAAGGGGAGAGUGGGAUUCCAUGUGUAGCGGUGAAAUGCGUAGAUAUAUGGAGGAACACCGGUGGCGAAAGCGGCUCUCUGGUCUGUAGCUGACGCUGAGGCUCGAAAGCGUGGGGAGCGAACAGGAUUAGAUACCCUGGUAGUCCACGCCGUAAACGA